CCCUAGUAUUUUAGGUUAAUAAAAUUAGUAUAAUAUGAAAUUUAAUAAUUUUGGCGGUUAAUUGUUAUUUAGAGGAGCUUGUUUAUUGUAGUAAAUACUCUUUGUAUCUUAUUUAUGGAAUCAGUUUAUUCAUCUCCGUUAUUAGAUAUAUUAUUUAAUAUGAUUAGUAAUUCUUUAUUUCAGGUCAAGAUGUAGCUCUAUAAAGCUAAAAUUAGCUACAGUUUUUAAAAAAAUGGAUUUUUUAAGUUAGAUAGUUGAUUUGAAAUUGAAUUUAAUUGUAAUGUUAACUUAGAAUAUUUAUAUGAAUUGCAAUAAUUAAUGU
RNAcentral lists this ribosomal RNA (322 nucleotides) under Yania metatarsalis. RNAcentral's name for it is "partial 12S ribosomal RNA". Lineage: Eukaryota; Metazoa; Arthropoda; Arachnida; Opiliones; Cranaidae. The record is from RNAcentral.